AUUUUGUUAGGGUUUUGAGAAAUGUUAUAUCAAAGUGGGUGGUGAAAGUUAUAUGAAAGUGUAUUUGGAGUGGUGGUAUUAAAUUACGUAAAAGGAAUGCUUAGAGUCUAAGGGAGUGGCACCAUCCAUUCUUGUUUGACCCGUAUUUUGAGGCUUAUAAUUCGCUCCGUUGUUCUCUCACCGCCAACCUAACUUCACAAUACUAAAAAACUCCAUUUCUGAUUUCUGCAUCACUGCACCAAAACCCACAACCCACCACUACCAUUGCAUUGCAUUGCUUUGCUUGGGCUUCUCACCACACAGAUUCUCUCUUCUUAUAACUGCCUCCUUCUUUUUCUAACAUUUAAUUUGCACCAACCCAACAUUCAUUCGUUUUUAAAUUCAAAGCUUAAUAAUACACAUCAAACUCACCCUCAACACCUACUCUUCUUCGGACAUUCUACUAUUUCUUUCUUUCUCUUCCCUCUCUAUUUGCUUCAGCUCACCAUUCGGGGUUGCUAUGGAAUAUUCUGCAUGCCUCAUUU
RNAcentral lists this long non-coding RNA (524 nucleotides) under Vigna radiata. RNAcentral's name for it is "long non-coding RNA (VRAD_LNC016866)". The record is from RNAcentral. Lineage: Eukaryota; Viridiplantae; Streptophyta; Magnoliopsida; Fabales; Fabaceae.